AAUCAGGAUGUUUUUCAGAGAGAAGUGUGGAUGCUGGACAGGAAGAACCACAGAUACCAGAUACGGGUACUGUUGUAACUCUGUUCUCCAUGAAAAGACAUACUUUAUUCAGCUGGGUGCUGAAAAAGAAUCUUGGAAAUUAGGAAACUGAAUGAGGCCUCAUUUCACACUCAGAAUGUGGGUUGCAAUAGUCACUUCCUCUGCUGCUGGGAAAGAAAGAAUUAUACUACCUUUUGAAUUUUGGAUUAAGGAGAGAGGUGUUGGCUUGUCAAACUACCAUGUAUUCCUCAAGACAUAUUUUUGUGGCUUUAUAAAAUUCAAUAUAUAUGUCUAAAUUCAAAAAUAUUUUGUUGCAAUCUGGCCCUUGGACAAACUGAGGCCCUAGCAACUGAUGUUUAUGGCUUUCCGUAGAACCUUUCAGAUAAAAUUUACACAGCAUUUUACUGCAGCUAUUUCACACAAAGCAGAGGAUUUUGCCACAAAACUGAAAGAAAAAAGAAACUGCAUUCUUAAAUUUUUCAUAAAUCAAAAGGUAUAAAAAUAUCUACCUAAACGAUAAAGGAGAUGAGAAACCCCACCCAUGAUGGGAAGAAAGCCUAUUUCAGUUUUGCCUUUACUUCAAGUUCUUUUUUCCAUAUCUGGAAUGCAAUCAGAAUUUUAAUCUUGCCUUGGGUUCCUCCUGGAUUUGGGGAGAAGACAAAACCUGAAAAUCUCUAAUCUGCAUGUGUUCAGCUGCGUAUCUUCUGGAUACGGAAGGAUCACACUGCACAGAGUGCUGGACUUGCAGGAGCCCCGCUUCUCAACCUCCAUCGCUUUAUGAAUGAAUUCACCAGAAAGGAAGAAUCAACACUUUCAGAGAUGGAGCCUGUUGAGCCACAGUACCAACUAGUCAAUGCUGAAUCGACUUCUCCCUUUCUACAUUGCCUGAGAGAAGUCAUUGGGGAAUACUCUAGAGUCAAGGGAUUGGAUUGUGGAUUGCAUUGGUGGUUUUCCUCAGUUUCCUCAUCUUCUCCACAAGUUUCUACAUAUCGAAUGCAGAGCAGCCCUUCUUCAAAGGACCUCCUACGGAAGCUGCUAAGGAACUCAGUCUGUAGCUCUGCGUGGAGCCAUGUGUAAACACUGAACUGAGACCUGCCACCUCCUACUACCUAAGGGCCCAUUUUCAUCUGAUAUCAUCCCCCAGAAACAAACUCAUGAUGACUUCCAUGUUUUUUUUAGAUUAGAUACAUGGAGAAUUUUCCUUUCCCUUAGAAUUAAAAUCCUGCAUUCUAAUUUUCA
Molecule: long non-coding RNA, 1278 nt
Filed under: Homo sapiens (human)
Lineage: Eukaryota; Metazoa; Chordata; Mammalia; Primates; Hominidae
Description: long intergenic non-protein coding RNA 943
Source: RNAcentral